RNAcentral lists this ribosomal RNA (430 nucleotides) under uncultured bacterium. Its description in RNAcentral is "bacterial SSU rRNA". It matches the Rfam family "Bacterial small subunit ribosomal RNA", at positions 79 to 544 of the family's 1533-position model. The record is from RNAcentral.
UUCGGGACGCCGGCGAGUGGCGAACGGGUGAGUAACACGUGGAGACCUGCCCUGGGGUGGGGGAUAACAGCUAGAAAUGGCUGCUAAUACCGCAUACGCCUUACGAGGGAAAGAUUUAUUGCCCCAGGAGGGUUCCGCGUCGGAUUAGCUUGUUGGUGGGGUAACGGCCUACCAAGGCGACGAUCCGUAGCUGGUCUUAGAGGAUGAUCAGCCACACUGGGACUGAGACACGGCCCAGACUCCUACGGGAGGCAGCAGUGGGGAAUAUUGCGCAAUGGGGGAAACCCUGACGCAGCGAUGCCGCGUGGGUGAAUAAGGCCUUAGGGUUGUAAAGCCCUUUCAGUGGGAACGAUGAUGACGGUACCCACAGAAGAAGCCCCGGCUAACUCCGUGCCAGCAGCCGCGGUAAUACGGAGGGGGCGAGCGUUGU